This 464-nucleotide ribosomal RNA is filed under the name uncultured bacterium. RNAcentral describes it as "partial 16S ribosomal RNA". It matches the Rfam family "Bacterial small subunit ribosomal RNA", at positions 338 to 795 of the family's 1533-position model. The record is from RNAcentral.
CCUACGGGUGGCUGCAGUAGGGAAUCUUCCACAAUGGGCGCAAGCCUGAUGGAGCAACACCGCGUGAGUGAAGAAGGGUUUCGGCUCGUAAAGCUCUGUUGUUGGAGAAGAACGUGCGUGAGAGUAACUGUUCACGCAGUGACGGUAUCCAACCAGAAAGUCACGGCUAACUACGUGCCAGCAGCCGCGGUAAUACGUAGGUGGCAAGCGUUAUCCGGAUUUAUUGGGUUUAAAGGGUGCGUAGGCGGGAUGCCAAGUCAGCGGUAAAAAUGCGGUGCUCAACGCCGUCGAGCCGUUGAAACUGGCGUUCUUGAGUGGGCGAGAAGUAUGCGGAAUGCGUGGUGUAGCGGUGAAAUGCAUAGAUAUCACGCAGAACUCCGAUUGCGAAGGCAGCAUACCGGCGCCCUACUGACGCUGAGGCACGAAAGCGUGGGUAUCGAACAGGAUUAGAUACCCCAGUAGUC